Erinaceus europaeus (western European hedgehog) is the source of this 236-nucleotide non-coding RNA. Lineage: Eukaryota; Metazoa; Chordata; Mammalia; Eulipotyphla; Erinaceidae. The record is from Rfam.
GUGAAAUGAUGAUUCAGUUUAUCCAUUCGCUGAGUGCGCAGGCACUGACCUUCUUCCAAGCCUCAGUUCCUGUUCUAGGAACAGGGGUACAUAGCCUCCAAAUGCCCUGCAGUCUACAGUGUUCUACUGUGGACAGUUUGUGUAUUGGGGGACUGUUGGUAAGAAUGGCUGGUGUCAGCAGGGGUGGUGCUCGUUGGGCCCCAUCUCACCGAGAUGAGUGUUGAAAAUCUGAUUAC